AGGAGAAGAAGAUCAGAAGGAAGAGAAAGAAGAGAAGAAGGUGAAGCCUUCCAAGCAAAGUAGCCAGCAGCUAAGCGCGUUCUAAGUGCAUUGGCAGCCAUUUACAACGUCCAACAAAAGAGCUAUUGUAGGUCUGCAUACGCCGCGCGUCUGUGUAUGGCUCUGAAUGUGUGUUUGUAUGCCUGUGCGAAUUGCAGGCGAAAAACAAAAAAAAAAGCGAAACGUGAAACCAGUUACUUGUUGCAGUAGUAUUGAACCCUUCCGUGCAAAAAAUAAAUAAACAAACAAAACAAAAAGACAGCAGGUUAUUAAGCAAGGCAGCCAGCGGCAGGCCAGGCGGAAGGCAAGCGGUGAAUUUCGGAAAUUUGCAAGGCGCAAGCAACAAAAAGAGAAGCAAUAACAAGAAAACAAAGACUCAGAACCAGUCAGAAGCUAAAAGCUGUUUGUUGCUGAAGUCUGGAAAAAAAUAAAAUUAAAAAUUAAAAUAAGCAAUGAGUGGCCAACCACUGCAGUUUGAGUAGCAAGCAGCAAAACUAGCGGCAGUGUUGGCAGUGGAGCAAUAGUGGCAUUUGUGGCAGCGCGACAGCAACACCGUGCAAAUCCCAAACAGCGGAAAUCGAAACUCAAAUAGCGAGAAGAAGAAGCAGCAGCUGAAAAGUUUGACUUUCAACUUGGCGAAUGCGGAGUGCCGACGGUAAUCGGGCAAAGGAACAUUUUGGAUUUAGUUUGGUGAAUUGUGUGAAAAAGUGACGAUAUUUUAAAAGUUGAUGUGGAAUAAUACGUAUGUAAAACGCAAGGCGUAGCGAAUGAAAAAAUGCAUUUUUAAAUUUUAAAUCUGGCGUAAACUAGAAAAUUUUUGUAAAAAAUUCCACGUCAGCGGCGAAUUGUGGCAUUGUGCGGUAACUGUCAAGCGUAGCAGAAGCAGCAUGCGAAAACAAGUAAAAGUGUGAAAUAAAAAUUAAAAAUUUUUUAAAACGAUUUGCAAAUAGUUUUGAAGGACACAAUUUUAUAACGAAAAAUUCGAAUUUUUGAUAAUGGAAUUUUUAUGGGUAUAAAAUAGCGAACAUUAACAAAAAAAAUAUUUAACAAAAUUUUUGCCUAUUAGCGUAGAAAAUGUGCAGUAAUUUUUAUGCUGUUGCCGUUGUGUGUUUUUAAGCAAAAGUUUACAACAAAAAAUAUAUGCAAAAAAGUGAUUGAUGUGUGAAAUUUGAAAAAAAAAAAUUAUUAAAAGCAUUUUAAGUAAAGCGACUGCGAGUGUGGCGAAAAAAAGUAUUAAAUAGAAAAGCGCACGCAAAAAAAAA
Molecule: long non-coding RNA, 1301 nt
Organism: Rhagoletis zephyria (snowberry fruit fly)
Lineage: Eukaryota; Metazoa; Arthropoda; Insecta; Diptera; Tephritidae
Source: RefSeq, a predicted model, not a curated record